Molecule: long non-coding RNA, 3391 nt
Organism: Toxotes jaculatrix (banded archerfish)
Lineage: Eukaryota; Metazoa; Chordata; Actinopteri; Toxotidae
Exons: 17
Source: RefSeq, a predicted model, not a curated record
UUUCACCACCUCUGCUGUGGAUGCCCCGCCCUCUCCAAUCAAACCCUCCAAUUAUGGAGUCUCCUCCUCUGAAGACGUCCCCUCAUCAUCAGUGUGAUCCGGCUCUGGGGGAGUGUCCUUUUCUAGUCUUUUCUACCUUUUCACCAAAAAUUUACUUCAGAUUUCCUCAUUUUCUUCUUUUCUCUCUUGAUUUAAACAGAACGUCGUGAGUGUUUGCUGAAGAACACAGCACCAGGAACCGCAUGAGACGAUGAAGGAUAACAAAGCGGAGGAGAGACGAUCGAAGACGAGGAGGAGGAGCAACGCGCUGUCCACUCGGAGACCAGACGCAGGAUGCGGUACAGAACCCAGGCUGAUCUACAUGUUCUGGUUCUGGACCCUGAAUCUCAGCCUCGGUUGGAGGACGGACAGCGUCAGCUGACACAGGACGACAGUGUUACGCUCUGACCAGUCUGACCAGUCUGACCUGUGACCUGUGACCUGCAGUUCACCUCCAGGAUUUUACAGGAAUGAACCGCGACCUGUUCGAGAUAAAGACGACCAGAAAGGUGAACUGACCGUGAGCCGACCGUGAGCCACAAAGUCCUCACAGCAGUGUCUCUUCAGGGCUGAGGACAUUUAAAGGAGCAGUUCCCUCUGAACUGCUGUGACACGUUGAAGCUGACGCCGUCUGAGGAGCAGCUGAUGGAGGGAAACGCUCAGGACACAACUUCUCCUUCACUCUGCACAUGAAAGGCUGAUGAAGUCUGAGGCUGAGUGUGGUUCUACACGUCUGACUGGAUUUACUCUGCACACGAAGACAGUCAGUCUGCUGAGUCGCUGCAGAGACGCUGCUGAAAUAAAAGUCAAACUUGUCCUGAUCUGUGCUACAAACGCUCUUGAGUGCAACAGAAACUGUCCCACACACAUCGCUACUAAUUUCCUCCAGAGCUGUGGACAGGACCAUGAACACACCACAGACUCUCAGCUUUUCCUCCAGCACAGUCAAACCUCUGGACUCUGGACCUGAACCAUCAGGAACGGCCUCAGGAACCACGUGACGCUCGGUAAACAAUCCUGUGCUCGGUCAGAGCAAAGAUCUCUCACUGAACUGAACUGUAGUUCACUGCAUCUGCUGCCGUCAGUGUCCAGGAAACCCGGGCUGAGUCCACUGAACUGUGUGGAACACACAACCGCAGGACACUUUAGGCAGAGCUGAGGGACAGAGAGAGACGAGGGGCCACCAGGACUCCUGGAGGACAAAGACCCAGAUCCAGGACAGCCAUGAGAGUAGAAGAAGAAGACCCAGGACGGGCCACGGUCCAGUGUUUAAUACAGGCGUUAGCAGCCGUCCAUCUCAUCAAUCUGUCACUCUGGAGACGUGUCAGUCCAAACAGAGUUCAGCCAAUCAGAGCGCAGGACAGGGGAGGAGGACUGGGGGAGGAAGAUGGUGAGGGAGGUGAAGUCUCACCAAUUUACCUGCCGGAGCACUCAGAGCAGUCGCAGGUUUUCUCCGUGUCACGUGUUUGAGGAGGAACACGUGAGGUCACGGCAGGUCGCGGCUGUACGUCCUCGACAGUGAGCUGAAAUUUAAACAGGUUAGGAGGACAGACCGUGGACAGUCGUUCACCGACUUACCUGUUUGCUCAGGAAUGAGAACGGACUGCUGCUGACCUACAGUGCGGCCAUGAUGGGGGAGGGGUCAGCGAGUGAAUUCAUUACACAGACACACGCUAAUGAAGGACAGUAACUGUCGGAGAGGACGUGACUCUGGACUUGGAGAAGAGGAAGAGUUAGUCAAAGAGCAGUGGGAAAAGAAGCAAAGGAAAAGAAAGCUGGAGCAAAGGCAGAUGUCAGGACGAGAGGGGACACGAAGACGACGUCAACAACAUCAUCGAGGACACAGCAACAGAUGUCUUCACCUGGUCUCACCUGUGGAUCAUCUCAUCCGUCUGUCUGACUGGCUCUGCUUCCUGUCAGCUCACCAGCCGUCCUCUGCAGGAACAACCACACACGUCACACCAACCACAGAUCUCAGUGUGAUGUCAGCAGGUUGCGUGGCGUCUUCGUGCGGCGGCCUGUAGUUCUGGGACUGAUGGAGCUUCCUGUGUCCCGUCCCUCUGCUUCCUGUCGGAGGGCUCUGUGUCCGGGCUCGGCUGAGCGUCUCUGCUCUGUGACCGAGGGCCGGUUCAAACCUUUAUUCUUCCGAACCUGAAGACGUGGACGGACCUGACAGAAGCUCCCGUGUCUCUGGUCUCUGUACGGCAGUCAGGACGGAGGACGUACGAAGACCGAGACUGUGAGACCAGAGAACAGGUUGAAGAACCAGCUGCUGUGAGUCUGAACAGAACCAGUUCCAUCGUCCGCGGCGUCCUGCGUUGGCCCGCUGAGACCCUAACCCUAACCCUAACCCGGGCCUCGUCCUGUCUCUGGGGACGAGGCAGGCUGUCACUAUGGCAACGAAGACUUUGGAGGGAACUGAGAGCGACGUCUCUCGCUCCGCUGCUCCAUCGAUCGUCCCUCGUCAACAGAAACGGCUCGUCGCUGUGAGUAACGGGGGUUUGAUGGUCAGAGGAAGUUUCCAGAUGAAAUCUGCUGCGACUGAAACGUGGGCGAGUUUCGUGUUAAUGAGGAAACAGAUUCACGUUUUUCUCCUCGCGGCAAAAAUCAAGUCUCUGUUUGCUUUAACCAAACUGACCUGAGUUCAGUGGAUCACAGCAGAACUCGGUCCCUGUCCCAGAGCCCGUCCCAGAGCCCGUCCCAGAGCCCAUCCCAGAACCUGAGGUCAGAGAUCCGCUCAGAGAGUUUCCCAUCAUGCCUUUCUGCAGGCUGUCAGCAGCCGCUGGGUCUGGCGGGCGUCGGUCGACCUCGACCUUCAGCGGCACCUCGGAGGACGAAGCCGUCGUUGGAGAAAGCGUUUGGGGGCAGACAGACGGAGAUGGACGGGGAGAGAGGCAGAAUCCAUUCAGAGACGUUAAUAAAAUCAAAGAGCCUGAUAUGAUCAAGCAUGAAGUACAUUACAAAGGACGGUAAACAUGUAAAACCAGUCUGUGGCAAACUGAGGACGGAAGGACCGUGGACACAGACCAGGACUGAAGCAGCGUGGACACAGAGCGUACCUGUGGGACUGAGGGACCGGGGACACAGACGUAGUCUGGAGGUCUUCGUGGUGCAGCAGUUUCUCUCUGUCAGGUCUUGACCUCAGUCUGUGAAGAGUCUUCAGAUCACGUAUGCAGUUACUUGGCUCUGUGUAAAUGACAACACGUAACAACAUGUCAUGUAUAACAGGAUCAUACAACACGCAGUGAGCGUGAGUCAGACGCUGGAGCACAUGAUGAUCUGCAGCAGUGACUCUGUUCCAGCAGAUGAACCACUGAUGCAGAUCAGAGUGGAGGUCUGCUUUAAUAUUUCA